This is a non-coding RNA of Izhakiella sp., 26 nucleotides long. The record is from Rfam. NCBI's taxonomy places the organism in Bacteria, Pseudomonadati, Pseudomonadota, Gammaproteobacteria, Enterobacterales, Erwiniaceae.
CCUGUUGCUGGGUCGCCUGCAACAGG